UGGGAUGUAACUCAGGUUAGAGCACUUGCCUAGUAUGCAUGAGGUCCUGGGUUCAAUCACCAGCACCGCAA
This 71-nucleotide transfer RNA is filed under the name Heterocephalus glaber (naked mole-rat). It matches the Rfam family "tRNA". From Rfam's summary of the family: Transfer RNA (tRNA) molecules are approximately 80 nucleotides in length. Their secondary structure includes four short double-helical elements and three loops (D, anti-codon, and T loops). The record is from Rfam by way of RNAcentral. Lineage: Eukaryota; Metazoa; Chordata; Mammalia; Rodentia; Bathyergidae.